GGGGCUGUGGCCCUGAGGCUGAGCAUCUGCUUGGCAUGCAAACAGUCCCAAGUUCAAUUCCUGGCAUCUCCA
Molecule: transfer RNA, 72 nt
Filed under: Sphaerodactylus townsendi
Lineage: Eukaryota; Metazoa; Chordata; Lepidosauria; Squamata; Sphaerodactylidae
Description: tRNA-Ala
Rfam family: tRNA
About the family: Transfer RNA (tRNA) molecules are approximately 80 nucleotides in length. Their secondary structure includes four short double-helical elements and three loops (D, anti-codon, and T loops).
Source: RNAcentral